AGGAUCCGAGCGUUAUCCGGAUUUAUUGGGUUUAAAGGGAGCGUAGGCGUGUUGUUAAGUCAGUUGUGAAAGUUUGCGGCUCAACCGUAAAAUUGCAGUUGAUACUGGCGACCUUGAGUGCAACAGAGGUAGGCGGAAUUCGUGGUGUAGCGGUGAAAUGCUUAGAUAUCACGAAGAACUCCGAUUGCGAAGGCAGCUUACUGGAUUGUAACUGACGCUGAUGCUCGAAAGUGUGGGUAUCAA
RNAcentral lists this ribosomal RNA (243 nucleotides) under uncultured bacterium. Its description in RNAcentral is "partial 16S ribosomal RNA". It matches the Rfam family "Bacterial small subunit ribosomal RNA", at positions 529 to 771 of the family's 1533-position model. The record is from RNAcentral.